This 979-nucleotide non-coding RNA is filed under the name Hemidactylus almakhwah (Al Makhwah gecko). RNAcentral's name for it is "12S ribosomal RNA". It matches the Rfam family "Bacterial small subunit ribosomal RNA". Lineage: Eukaryota; Metazoa; Chordata; Lepidosauria; Squamata; Gekkonidae. The record is from RNAcentral.
ACACCGUCUUGGUCCUAAACUUGGCGUUAUUUAAUACCAACCAUACACAUGCAAGUCUCCGCAUCCCUGUGCCAACGCCUACACAUAGUAACCAGAGCCGGCAUCAGGCACGUCACUAACAGACAGCCCACAACGCCUAGCUCGUGCCACACCCCUACGGAACCCAGCAGUGAUUAACAUUAAGCCAUAAGCCCCCACUUUUUAAACCUUUAAGCUUGACUUAGGCAUGGUAUUCAGGGCCGGUAAACACCGUGCCAGCCACCGCGGUUAUACGAUGAGCCCAAAAUAACAUCACACGGCGUAAAACGUGACUAGAAGACUUUAAUUAAAAGGAAACAUACCAAAACUUGCAGCACAGGAGUAAAAUCCCUACACACCACAGAACCCCACACCACCUUUCCCACAUUAAAACCUUUUGACCGCACGAAAGCUAAGACACAAACUAGGAUUAGAUACCCUACUAUGCUUAGACGUAAACCAAGGCAGCAACCACAUCCACCCUGCCCGCCAGAGUACUACAAGUGAAAAACUUAAAACUCAAAGGACUUGACGGCAUUCCACACCACACUAGAGGAGCCUGUCCUAUAACCGAUAACCCACGUUUCACCUCACCUGUUCUAGCACCAACUCAGCCUAUAUACCGCCGUCUCCCAGCUCGCCUCACAAAAGAACCCAAAGCGGGCAAACCAGUCCACCACUAAUACGUCAGGUCAAGGUGUAGCGAAUGCACAGGCAGAGAUGGGCUACAUUUUCUCCGCAACAGAAAACCACCCCCCGCAUCAUGAAACAAGUGCACAAAGGAGGAUUUAGCAGUAAGCCGCGCAAGACUGCCCGCCUGAACAACGCCAUGGAAUGCGUACACACCGCCCGUCACCCUCAUCAAUAUAACACACCAAAAGUUACAUAAACACCCACCAAAAACACUAGAUGAGACAAGUCGUAACAAGGUAAGUGCACUGGAAAGUACACUUGGCAAACU